UGGGGAAUAUUGGGCAAUGGGCGCAAGCCUGACCCAGCAACGCCGCGUGAAGGAAGAAGGCUUUCGGGUUGUAAACUUCUUUUCUAAGGGACGAAGGAAGUGACGGUACCUUAGGAAUAAGCCACGGCUAACUACGUGCCAGCAGCCGCGGUAAUACGUAGGUGGCAAGCGUUAUCCGGAUUUACUGGGUGUAAAGGGCGUGUAGGCGGGACUGCAAGUCAGAUGUGAAAACCAUGGGCUCAACCUGUGGCCUGCAUUUGAAACUGUAGUUCUUGAGUACUGGAGAGGCAGACGGAAUUCCUAGUGUAGCGGUGAAAUGCGUAGAUAUUAGGAGGAACACCAGUGGCGAAGGCGGUCUGCUGGACAGCAACUGACGCUGAGGCGCGAAAGCGUGGGGAGCAAACAGG
Molecule: ribosomal RNA, 407 nt
Filed under: uncultured Ruminiclostridium sp.
Lineage: Bacteria; Bacillati; Bacillota; Clostridia; Eubacteriales; Oscillospiraceae
Description: bacterial SSU rRNA
Rfam family: Bacterial small subunit ribosomal RNA
Source: RNAcentral